GUGUCAGCAGCCGCGGUAAUACGGAGGAUCCGAGCGUUAUCCGGAUUUAUUGGGUUUAAAGGGAGCGUAGGUGGACUGGUAAGUCAGUUGUGAAAGUUUGCGGCUCAACCGUAAAAUUGCAGUUGAUACUGUCAGUCUUGAGUACAGUAGAGGUGGGCGGAAUUCGUGGUGUAGCGGUGAAAUGCUUAGAUAUCACGAAGAACUCCGAUUGCGAAGGCAGCUCACUGGACUGCAACUGACACUGAUGCUCGAAAGUGUGGGUAUCAAACAGGAUUAGAUACCCUGGUAGUCCACACAGUAAACGAUGAAUACUCGCUGUUUGCGAUAUACAGUAAGCGGCCAAGCGAAAGCAUUAAGUAUUCCACCUGGGGAGUACGCCGGCAACGGUGAA
This 391-nucleotide ribosomal RNA is filed under the name uncultured bacterium. RNAcentral's name for it is "bacterial SSU rRNA". It matches the Rfam family "Bacterial small subunit ribosomal RNA", at positions 505 to 898 of the family's 1533-position model. The record is from RNAcentral.